RNAcentral lists this ribosomal RNA (254 nucleotides) under uncultured bacterium. Its description in RNAcentral is "partial 16S ribosomal RNA". It matches the Rfam family "Bacterial small subunit ribosomal RNA", at positions 524 to 777 of the family's 1533-position model. The record is from RNAcentral.
UACGAAGGGGGCUAGCGUUGCUCGGAAUCACUGGGCGUAAAGCGCACGUAGGCGGCUUUCUAAGUCAGGGGUGAAAUCCUGGAGCUCAACUCCAGAACUGCCUUUGAUACUGGGAGCUCGAGUCCGGAAGAGGUGAGUGGAACUCCGAGUGUAGAGGUGAAAUUCGUAGAUAUUCGGAAGAACACCGGUGGCGAAGGCGGCUCACUGGUCCGGUACUGACGCUGAGACGCGAAAAGCGUGGGGAGCGAACGAGG